Long non-coding RNA from Zalophus californianus (California sea lion), 577 nucleotides. RefSeq lists it as uncharacterized. The transcript is spliced from 3 exons. The record is from RefSeq and is a predicted model, not a curated record. NCBI's taxonomy places the organism in Eukaryota, Metazoa, Chordata, Mammalia, Carnivora, Otariidae.
GUGAGAGGUUCUGUCCAACUCUCCAGUCAGUUAAAUGGAUCCUCAUUCUAUAAGAAGUCUGCAAGAGGGUAGAUCACCUAUUUCAGAAGAUAAAGUAAGAAUGGGAGGCAAGAAAAAGAAUGAUUUUUUCCUAAUUUGGGUUCCCAGGUAUCAGUUUUGGGCCACUGAGAGAAGAAAGAAAUUGUACUGGGCAAGGAUCUCAAACUACAUUGGAGAGAAUGUACACAUGCUGAUGUCAAGGACAGAUCAUAAAAUGGUCAUCAGGAGGGAGCAAAACUGCUGUGGCGGAAACCCUGGGCCUUGACCUUUUAGGGAUUGUAUUCAGAGAAGGGAUGUUAAAGCUGGAAGACCAACUGGACUUAUCUAGUCAACGCCUCUCAUGCUACAGACAGGAAAGCUGAAGCCAGUGGGCUUAAGAAGCACAGUGACCACAGAAACAGGUACUUCUGUAUCAUUUCCAUGCUACUUUUUUUUUCCAGCUGACAAUUCAUUAAUAUGGGUAAGAAUUACAAAGAGACUCUGAGAGACUUUUGCAAAGUAGCAGGAGAAAUGGAAAAAAAGAAAAUAUAGAGGAAGA